GACGAACGCUGGCGGCGUGCCUAAUACAUGCAAGUAGAACGCUGAAGGAGGAGCUUGCUCUUCUGGAUGAGUUGCGAACGGGUGAGUAACGCGUAGGUAACCUGCCUGGUAGCGGGGGAUAACUAUUGGAAACGAUAGCUAAUACCGCAUAAGAGUAGAUGUUGCAUGACAUUUACUUAAAAGGUGCAAUUGCAUCACUACCAGAUGGACCUGCGUUGUAUUAGCUAGUUGGUGGGGUAACGGCUUACCAAGGCGACGUUACAUAGCCGACCUGAGAGGGUGAUCGGCCACACUGGGACUGAGACACGGCCCAGACUCCUACGGGAGGCAGCAGUAGGGAAUCUUCGGCAAUGGACGGAAGUCUGACCGAGCAACGCCGCGUGAGUGAAGAAGGUUUUCGGAUCGUAAAGCUCUGUUGUAAGAGAAGAACGAGUGUGAGAGUGGAAAGUUCACACUGUGACGGUAUCUUACCAGAAAGGGACGGCUAACUACGUG
This 495-nucleotide ribosomal RNA is filed under the name uncultured bacterium. RNAcentral describes it as "partial 16S ribosomal RNA". It matches the Rfam family "Bacterial small subunit ribosomal RNA", at positions 28 to 507 of the family's 1533-position model. The record is from RNAcentral.